RNAcentral lists this ribosomal RNA (402 nucleotides) under bacterium. RNAcentral describes it as "partial 16S ribosomal RNA". It matches the Rfam family "Bacterial small subunit ribosomal RNA", at positions 355 to 776 of the family's 1533-position model. The record is from RNAcentral.
UGGGGAAUUUUGCACAAUGGGGGAAACCCUGAUGCAGCGACGCCGCGCGAUUUAGAAGGCCUUCGGGUUGUAAAAAUCUUUUCUAUGGGAAGAAAAUGACAGUACCAUAGGAAUAAGGACCGGCUAAUUACGUGCCAGCAGCCGCGGUAAUACGUAAGGUUCGAGCGUUGUCCGGAAUCAUUGGGCGUAAAGGGUACGUAGGCGGGUAAGCAAGUUAGAAGUGAAAUCCUAUAGCUCAACUAUAGUAAGCUUUUAAAACUGCUCAUCUUGAGGUAUGGAAGGGAAAGUGGAAUUCCUAGUGUAGCGGUGAAAUGCGCAGAUAUUAGGAGGAAUACCGGUGGCGAAGGCGACUUUCUGGCCAUAACCUGACGCUGAGGUACGAAAGCGUGGGUAGCAAACAGG